GAGGGUGUAGCUCAGUGGUAGAGUGCAUGUUUAGCAUGCACAAGGUCCUGGGUUCAAUCCCCAGUACCUCCA
This 72-nucleotide transfer RNA is filed under the name Camelus bactrianus (Bactrian camel). It matches the Rfam family "tRNA". Rfam says of the family: Transfer RNA (tRNA) molecules are approximately 80 nucleotides in length. Their secondary structure includes four short double-helical elements and three loops (D, anti-codon, and T loops). RNAcentral also lists the same sequence under 2 other names. The record is from Rfam by way of RNAcentral. Lineage: Eukaryota; Metazoa; Chordata; Mammalia; Artiodactyla; Camelidae.